Molecule: non-coding RNA, 79 nt
Organism: Cordylochernes scorpioides
Lineage: Eukaryota; Metazoa; Arthropoda; Arachnida; Pseudoscorpiones; Chernetidae
Source: the annotation of a GenBank genome assembly
GCUCUCAUUACGGUGGAAGGCUGGUUAAACCGUUUGGUUUUCGACCACUAGGACCCGGGUUCGAUUCCCGCAUUGGACA